This 352-nucleotide unclassified non-coding RNA is filed under the name soil metagenome. Its description in RNAcentral is "partial contains 5.8S ribosomal RNA, internal transcribed spacer 2, and large subunit ribosomal RNA". The stretch from base 1 to 120 matches the Rfam family "5.8S ribosomal RNA", at positions 35 to 154 of the family's 154-position model. The record is from RNAcentral.
GAUGAAGAACGUAGCGAAGUGCGAUAAGUAAUGUGAAUUGCAGAAUUCAGUGAAUCAUCGAAUCUUUGAACGCACAUUGCGCCCGCCAGUAUUCUGGCGGGCAUGCCUGUUCGAGCGUCAUUUCAACCCUCAGGCCCCCAGUGCCUGGUGUUGGGGAUCGGCCCAGCCUUCCUGUAAGGCCGCCGGCCCCGAAAUCUAGUGGCGGUCUCGCUGUAGUCCUCCUCUGCGUAGUAGCACAACCUCGCAGUUGGAACGCGGCGGUGGCCAUGCCGUUAAACACCCCACUUCUGAAAGUUGACCUCGGAUCAGGUAGGAAUACCCGCUGAACUUAAGCAUAUCAAUAAGCGGAGGA